AGAGUUUGAUCAUGGCUCAGAUUGAACGCUGGCGGAAUGCUUUACACAUGCAAGUCGAACGGCAGCACGGACUUCGGUCUGGUGGCGAGUGGCGAACGGGUGAGUAACAUAUCGGAACGUAUCCAAUAAUGGGGGAUAACUAAUCGAAAGGUUGGCUAAUACCGCAUACGCCCUACGGGGGAAAGCUAGGGACCUUCGGGCCUGGCGUUAAUGGAGCGGCCGAUAUCUGAUUAGCUAGUUGGUGAGGUAAAGGCUCACCAAGGCGACGAUCAGUAGCUGGUCUGAGAGGACGACCAGCCACACUGGAACUGAGACACGGUCCAGACUCCUACGGGAGGCAGCAGUGGGGAAUUUUGGACAAUGGGCGCAAGCCUGAUCCAGCCAUUCCGCGUGAGUGAAGAAGGCCUUCGGGUUGUAAAGCUCUUUCGCAAGGGAAGAAAACUUAUCCUCUAACAUAGGAUGAGGUUGACGGUACCUUGAUAAGAAGCACCGGCUAACUACGUGCCAGCAGCCGCGGUAAUACGUAGGGUGCGAGCGUUAAUCGGAAUUACUGGGCGUAAAGCGUGCGCAGGCGGUUUUGUAAGUCAGAUGUGAAAUCCCCGAGCUCAACUUGGGAACUGCGUUUGAAACUACAAGACUAGAAUAUGUCAGAGGGGGGUAGAAUUCCACGUGUAGCAGUGAAAUGCGUAGAGAUGUGGAGGAAUACCAAUGGCGAAGGCAGCCCCCUGGGAUAAUAUUGACGCUCAUGCACGAAAGCGUGGGGAGCAAACAGGAUUAGAUACCCUGGUAGUCCACGCCCUAAACGAUGUCUACUAGUUGUUGGUGGAGUAAAAUCCAUGAGUAACGCAGCUAACGCGUGAAGUAGACCGCCUGGGGAGUACGGUCGCAAGAUUAAAACUCAAAUGAAUUGACAGGGGCCCGCACAAGCGGUGGAUUAUGUGGAUUAAUUCGAUGCAACGCGAAAAACCUUACCUGGGCCU
This 980-nucleotide ribosomal RNA is filed under the name uncultured bacterium. RNAcentral describes it as "bacterial SSU rRNA". It matches the Rfam family "Bacterial small subunit ribosomal RNA", at positions 8 to 982 of the family's 1533-position model. The record is from RNAcentral.